Long non-coding RNA from Cyphomyrmex costatus, 852 nucleotides. RefSeq lists it as uncharacterized. Lineage: Eukaryota; Metazoa; Arthropoda; Insecta; Hymenoptera; Formicidae. The record is from RefSeq and is a predicted model, not a curated record. The transcript has 3 exons.
CGCAUCAAAGACGGUUACUCAGAGCUACAAAAUUGUCUCGUCAUGGAAUAAAUUCUCAAUUCGUGUAUUUGUGAAAGACGACGGGAUAAGUUUUUCAUUUUUUAAAUAAUACAUCGGUACAGUCGGUGAAUAUGAUUUGCUGUCAAACAGUCUCCUCACAAAACAAGCAUUUCGGGAUGAGCGAGAAGAUGGCAAAAAGAAAUAAAAGAACGCAGAAAUUGGCCUGUCGGUCGAUCAACCCGUUUAUACACUAUUAUUGGCAGCUACGUGAUUCUCUCGGCAGACAUUAUUCCUCGCAAAUGAUCGGCAAGAUCGCGGCGUACCGCUGGGAAUUCAUGCGGUAUCAUGACAGGCUGCCAUACAUUCAGGCCGCCAAACAGCAGUUACUCCGCCGAAGAAGAGCAGCAAAAUCUCGCAAAUACUGAGAAUACAAGAAAUCCAUUUCCGCAUAUGCCGCCGCGAAUAUAUCCAGUAAUUUCCUGCGAAGCAAAUCUGGCAUCAAUCUGACGUCCGUUUCACCUAUCAGAUACAUAUUUCCAUUGAAAAAGGCUCGAGUGUACUGUAAUUGGCAGUUCCUCUGCGCGAUAGGAUCGCAAAAUAUACACCUGCUGUAAUUCUUCCGAUCCACCUAAACGCAAUCUAUCCUCGUACGCUCUGACACAAGACUCGCACGAACACACAUACACGUCUUUUUAUAUCAUGAAAAAUUCAAAAGGCAGCAUGAAGUUCCAAUACAUUCAAACCGUCAAGGAGUUUGAGUUGCUCCCAAGAAAAGCGAUAAAGCCGCGAUCAUAAAUUCUUACCGAUACACAUAGAUCAUUGGUACCAUUGUUACACGUCAAACGUUGUUAG